Molecule: ribosomal RNA, 186 nt
Filed under: uncultured bacterium
Lineage: Bacteria
Description: partial 16S ribosomal RNA
Rfam family: Bacterial small subunit ribosomal RNA
Source: RNAcentral
CCUUCAUGAAGCCGGAAUUGCUAGUAAUGGCAGGUCAGCAUACUGCCGUGAAUACGUUCCCGGGCCUUGUACACACCGCCCGUCACACCAUGAGAGUUGGGAAUACCCGAAGCCUGUGAGCCAACCGUAAGGGGGCAGCAGUCGAAGGUAGAAUCAAUGAUUGGGGUGAAGUCGUAACAAGGUACC